Long non-coding RNA from Aedes albopictus (Asian tiger mosquito), 876 nucleotides. RefSeq lists it as uncharacterized. The record is from RefSeq and is a predicted model, not a curated record. The transcript is spliced from 2 exons. Lineage: Eukaryota; Metazoa; Arthropoda; Insecta; Diptera; Culicidae.
GAAAAAAAUUGUAUGGUAUACGUGAACACAAAACUGUGUUCAAAUUUACCAUGACCAAUUAUGUUAUUAAUAACAGACAGUAAGGUUCAUUUAACCGAUUUGUUGUGAGAAAUACUAUGCCUCAUAUGAAAACUUCGAAGUGGUGAUGACUACGUUUUGUAGUUAAAAAUACUAUGCACUUUAGGUAUCAAAAGUACUACUUUUGUAGUAAAAUUAACUAUGCGCGUAGUAAGCAUUAAGCGUUGCUACCAUGACGUACUUUUUCUACCAUGUUUCUGGUCAACUCAAGCGUAUUGUACCGACGUUUUUCAGCUGACAAUUUUUUCGCUCAAAAUUUACCACAAAAAUGGUAAUUUUCUGUGCUAUUUGUCGAGGAUUGACGUUUGGCCAUUUUGUACACAAAUAAGUGCAGUCGAAUUCGUUUGCGCGCACUGUUUUCAAUUAUAUUGAUUAAUUUAAACACAACCUAAUGAAUAUUUCUUAAAAAGUGGGAAGCAAAAGGUGGAAUAGUGGACGCAGACGUAAAGGUGAGUAAAUAUAAAUUCUUUUAUGAGGAAAUUACUCUGAAAACUGUUUUCAUUUCCCUCGCAGUUGAGGAUCGUGGAAUGAAUUUCAUCAUAGACUUUUCUGGUUUCUAUUCGCAACCAAGAACCCUUAAACAGAAGAUUGUUUUAAAUAUAUACUUCUUUUUAAUCGUCUAAAAUGGAUAAGAGGCGCCAUACAGAGGCAUCCGGCGGUACGAUCAAGCUUCGACGGGGAAUAGCCAGAAUUUGAAGGUUACGUUUCUAUGAGUGAUUAGUAAUUUAUUACAACGUCUGAAAGCUGACAUAAAUACUCGCGAAAAAUUAAGUAAAUAAACUAUGCAUGACAAAUGUA